Molecule: ribosomal RNA, 740 nt
Filed under: fungal sp.
Lineage: Eukaryota; Fungi
Description: eukaryotic LSU rRNA
Rfam family: 5.8S ribosomal RNA (bases 239-392)
Source: RNAcentral
AUUACUAGAGCAAAGGAUAGACAGCGCCCGCGGAGCUCGCUCCCGGGGCCACCCUACUCCGGUAGGGUUUAGAGUCGUCGGGCCUCUCGGAGAAGCUCGGUCCUGAACUCCACCCUUGAAUAAACUACCUUUGUUGCUUUGGCGGGCCGCCUCGUGCCAGCGGCUUCGGCUGUUGAGUGCCCGCCAGAGGACCACAACUCUUGUUUUUAGUGAUGUCUGAGUACUAUAUAAUAGUUAAAACUUUCAACAACGGAUCUCUUGGUUCUGGCAUCGAUGAAGAACGCAGCGAAAUGCGAUAAGUAAUGUGAAUUGCAGAAUUCAGUGAAUCAUCGAAUCUUUGAACGCACAUUGCGCCCUCUGGUAUUCCGGGGGGCAUGCCUGUUCGAGCGUCAUUAUAACCACUCAAGCUCUCGCUUGGUAUUGGGGUUCGCGGUUUCGCGGCUCCUAAAAUCAGUGGCGGUGCCUAUCGGCUCUACGCGUAGUAAUACUCCUCGCGAUUGAGUCCGGUAGGUCUACUUGCCAGCAACCCCUAAUUUUUUAAGGUUGACCUCGGAUCAGGUAGGGAUACCCGCUGAACUUAAGCAUAUCAAUAAGCGGAGGAAAAGAAACCAACAGGGAUUACCUCAGUAACGGCGAGUGAAGCGGUAACAGCUCAAAUUUGAAAGCUGGCUCUUUUAGGGUCCGCGUUGUAAUUUGUAGAAGAUGCUUCGGGUGUGGCCCCGGUCUAAGUUCCUUGGAAC